RNAcentral lists this ribosomal RNA (229 nucleotides) under uncultured Synergistaceae bacterium. RNAcentral describes it as "partial 16S ribosomal RNA". It matches the Rfam family "Bacterial small subunit ribosomal RNA", at positions 1155 to 1382 of the family's 1533-position model. The record is from RNAcentral. Lineage: Bacteria; Thermotogati; Synergistota; Synergistia; Synergistales; Synergistaceae.
GACGAGAUACGGAGGAAGGUGGGGAUGACGUCAAGUCAUCAUGGCCCUUAUGUCCAGGGCGACACACGUGCUACAAUGGCCGGCACAACGGGAAGCGAGUUCGCGAGGACGAGCGGAUCCCUCAAAGCCGGUCGCAGUUCGGAUUGAAGUCUGCAACUCGACUUCAUGAAGCUGGAAUCGCUAGUAAUCGUGGAUCAGCCAAGCCGCGGUGAAUACGUUCCCGGGCCUU